CGUAGGGGCGAGCGUUGUCCGGAUUUAUUGGGCGUAAAAGGCUUGUAGGUGGCCACGUCAAGUCGGAUGUGAAAUCUCCCGGCUCAACUGGGAGGGGUCAUUCGAUACUGGCGGGCUCGAGGCCGGUAGGGGGAAGCGGAAUUCCCGGUGUAGUGGUGGAAUGCGUAGAUAUCGGGAGGAACACCAGUGGCGAAGGCGGCUUCCUGGACCGGUUCUGACACUGAGGAGCGAAAGCGUGGGGAGCGAUCCGGAUUAGAUACCCGGGUGGUCCACGCCGUAAACGUUGGGCACUAGAUGUCGGGGGUAUCGACCCCUCCGGUGUCGCAGCUAACGCAUUAAGUGCCCUGCCUGGGGAGUACGGCCGCAAGGCUA
RNAcentral lists this ribosomal RNA (372 nucleotides) under uncultured organism. RNAcentral's name for it is "bacterial SSU rRNA". It matches the Rfam family "Bacterial small subunit ribosomal RNA", at positions 526 to 896 of the family's 1533-position model. The record is from RNAcentral.